RNAcentral lists this unclassified non-coding RNA (24 nucleotides) under Mus musculus (house mouse). RNAcentral describes it as "oocyte_clustered_small_RNA13022". Lineage: Eukaryota; Metazoa; Chordata; Mammalia; Rodentia; Muridae. The record is from RNAcentral.
UUGUGUAGGUUUCUCAUAGUGGUC